GUGCCAGCCGCCGCGGUAAUACGGAGGGUGCAAGCGUUACUCGGAAUCACUGGGCGUAAAGGGCGCGUAGGCGGCUUGGUAAGUUGGAUGUGAAAGCCCACGGCUCAACCGUGGAACUGCGUCCAAAACUGCCAGGCUAGAGUCCGGGAGAGGCAGAUGGAAUUGGUGGUGUAGGGGUAAAAUCCGUAGAGAUCACCAGGAAUACCCAUUGCGAAGGCGAUCUGCUGGAACGGUACUGACGCUGAGGCGCGAAAGCGUGGGGAGCAAACAGGAUUAGAUACCCUGGUAGUCCACGCCCUAAACGAUGGAUGCUAGUCGUUGGGAAGCUAGUCUUCCCAGUGAUGCAGCUAACGCAUUAAGCAUCCCGCCUGGGGAGUACGGCCGCAAGGCUAAAACUCAAAGGAAUAGACGGGGACCCGCACAAGCGGUGGAGCAUGUGGUUUAAUUCGAAGAUACGCGAAGAACCUUACCUGGGCUUGACAUCCCUGGAAUCUCCCAGAGAUGGGGGAGUGCCUCCUUAUGGAGGAGCCAGGUGACAGGUGCUGCACGGCUGUCGUCAGCUCGUGUCGUGAGAUGUUGGGUUAAGUCCCGCAACGAGCGCAACCCUCGUCCUUAGUUGCCAGCACUUAGGGUGGGCACUCUAAGGAGACUGCCCGGGUAACCGGGAGGAAGGUGAGGAUGACGUCAAGUCAUCAUGGCCCUUAUGCCCAGGGCGACACACGUGCUACAAUGGCGCGUACAGAGAGAGGCGAUACCGCGAGGUGGAGCAAAUCUCUAAAGCGCGUCCCAGUUCGGAUUGCAGUCUGCAACUCGACUGCAUGAAGUCGGAAUCGCUAGUAAUCGCGGAUCAGCCAUGCCGCGGUGAAUACGUUCCCGGGUCUUGUACUCACCGCCCGUCACACCAUGGGAGUUGAGCUCACCCGAAGCCGGGGGACCGACCCUUUAAGGGGGGACCCUCGUCGACGGUGGGCUCAGCGACUGGGGUGAAGUCGUAACAAGGUAGCC
This 1005-nucleotide ribosomal RNA is filed under the name uncultured Campylobacterota bacterium. Its description in RNAcentral is "bacterial SSU rRNA". It matches the Rfam family "Bacterial small subunit ribosomal RNA", at positions 505 to 1501 of the family's 1533-position model. Lineage: Bacteria; Pseudomonadati; Campylobacterota. The record is from RNAcentral.